RNAcentral lists this long non-coding RNA (652 nucleotides) under Felis catus (domestic cat). RNAcentral describes it as "lncRNA (ENSFCAG00000044512.2)". Lineage: Eukaryota; Metazoa; Chordata; Mammalia; Carnivora; Felidae. The record is from RNAcentral.
GGCUGGAAUUUUUGGCCAGUAGCUCAUUAAUGCAUGUUCAUGCACAAUAAAUAGCAUUAAGCCAGAGGCUGUUGAAAUACUAUAUUUGAUCUGAAAGGAGAGACACUACCGCUAGGAGCUUAUGCUAAAGGAAGAUGAACCCUUUAGAGUGGAAGGCAGAAUCCCAGCUAAAACCAUGCUUCCCUACCAAACGCCAAGAAAAAACUCUUGGCAUAGACUUGAAGCUCCUUGCCUAGAGGACGUUUCUUCUGGGAACUCUAUCUCUACUUUCCACAGAUGGUCAUUGCAUAGUCAGGAAGCAUCAGCAGGAUCUCUAUCUGCAACUCUACCCUACUUUGCUCCAGAAAUACAAGAACUAGUGAUUUCUCCUGGUGACUGUUCCACACACGAACCAGAGAUAGUCUUCCUGCACAUAAGACCAGUUGCAGAUUGGCUGGCCUUCCCUUCCAUCUGCUAUUCUCCCCACCGUAAGUUUCAGAAUUUACUUGGUAUCUCUGGCAUGUGGAUGGUGCCCUUCUCUCAUUUGUGUUACUUAUUUGCCUCUCUCUACCCCAUUUUCCCAAAUAUCCCUUUAAUCUUUUUGAAGAUCGUGUUGGUAGGAGCAGGGUUUUAAAGGGAUAGGUGAAUAAAUUAAUGUGAAUAUAGAAGUCCA